UAGAGUUUGAUCCUGGCUCAGAUUGAACGCUGGCGGCAUGCCUAACACAUGCAAGUCGAACGGCAGCACAGGUAGCAAUACCGGGUGGCGAGUGGCGGACGGGUGAGGAAUACAUCGGGACCUGCCCAGACGUGGGGGAUAACGUAGGGAAACUUACGCUAAUACCGCAUACGUCCUACGGGAGAAAGCGGGGGAUCUUCGGACCUCGCGCGGUUGGAUGGACCGAUGUUCGAUUAGCUAGUUGGUGAGGUAAUGGCUCACCAAGGCGACGAUCGAUAGCUGGUCUGAGAGGAUGAUCAGCCACACUGGGACUGAGACACGGCCCAGACUCCUACGGGAGGCAGCAGUGGGGAAUAUUGGACAAUGGGCGCAAGCCUGAUCCAGCAAUGCCGCGUGUGUGAAGAAGGCCUUCGGGUUGUAAAGCACUUUUAUCAGGAGCGAAAUACUACGGGUUAAUACCUCGUGGGGCUGACGGUACCUGAGGAAUAAGCACCGGCUAACUUCGUGCCAGCAGCCGCGGUAAUACGAAGGGUGCAAGCGUUAAUCGGAAUUACUGGGCGUAAAGCGUGCGUAGGCGGUUUUUUAAGUCUGCUGUGAAAUCCCCGGGCUCAACCUGGGAAUGGCAGUGGAUACUGGAAAGCUAGAGUGUGAGAGAGGAUGGUGGAAUUCCCGGUGUAGCGGUGAAAUGCGUAGAGAUCGGGAGGAACAUCAGUGGCGAAGGCGGCCAUCUGGCUCAACACUGACGCUGAGGCACGAAAGCGUGGGGAGCAAAC
Molecule: ribosomal RNA, 773 nt
Filed under: bacterium enrichment culture clone PF-2_48
Lineage: Bacteria
Description: bacterial SSU rRNA
Rfam family: Bacterial small subunit ribosomal RNA
Source: RNAcentral